RNAcentral lists this ribosomal RNA (428 nucleotides) under uncultured bacterium. Its description in RNAcentral is "partial 16S ribosomal RNA". It matches the Rfam family "Bacterial small subunit ribosomal RNA", at positions 354 to 796 of the family's 1533-position model. The record is from RNAcentral.
GUAGGGAAUAUUGCGCAAUGGACGAAAGUCUGACGCAGCGACGCCGCGUGAGUGAUGAAGGCCUUAGGGUCGUAAAGCUCUGUUGAAUGGGAAGAAAAAAAUGACGGUACCAUUCGAGGAAGGACCGGCUAACUUCGGGCCAGCAGCCGCGGUAAUACGAGGGGUCCUAGCGUUGUUCGGAAUCAUUGGGCGUAAAGGGUGUGUAGGUGGCCAUGUAAGUCAGGUGUGAAAGCCCCGGGCUCAACCCGGGAAGUGCACUUGAUACUGCGUGGCUUGAGUACCGAAGAGGGUAGUGGAAUUCCAGGUGUAGUGGUGAAAUACGUAGAUAUCUGGAGGAACACCGGUGGCGAAGGCGGCUACCUGGUCGAGUACUGACACUGAGACACGAAAGCAUGGGGAUCAAACAGGAUUAGAAACCCGGGUAGUCC